GAAAUGCGAUAAGUAAUGUGAAUUGCAGAGUUCCGUGAAUCAUCGAAUCUUUGAACGCACAUUGCGCCCUCUGGCAUUCCGGGGGGCAUGCCUGUCCGAGCGUCAUUACGCACCCUCAAGCCCGGCUUGUGUGAUGGGCCCCGGCGUCUCGUUCGCGAGACGGGCCCGAAAGGCAGCGGCGGCGUCGACCCGAUGAGCCCGAGCGUAUGGGGACUUCUGUCACACGUUCGCGGUGCGGACCGGCGCCUGCUUGACUUUUCUGAUUAUCCAGGUUGACCUCGGAUCAGGUAGGGAUACCCGCUGAACUUAAGC
Molecule: unclassified non-coding RNA, 312 nt
Filed under: plant metagenome
Description: partial contains 5.8S ribosomal RNA, internal transcribed spacer 2, and large subunit ribosomal RNA
Rfam family: 5.8S ribosomal RNA (bases 1-105)
Source: RNAcentral